GCUCUAUAAGUAUAACCAUGUACAACUACCUUCCAAGUAGAAAGACUUUUAAUAAAGAUAGAACA
RNAcentral lists this transfer RNA (65 nucleotides) under Exechonella vieirai. RNAcentral's name for it is "tRNA-Gly". The record is from RNAcentral. Lineage: Eukaryota; Metazoa; Bryozoa; Gymnolaemata; Cheilostomatida; Exechonellidae.